This 506-nucleotide ribosomal RNA is filed under the name uncultured bacterium. RNAcentral's name for it is "partial 16S ribosomal RNA". It matches the Rfam family "Bacterial small subunit ribosomal RNA", at positions 29 to 523 of the family's 1533-position model. The record is from RNAcentral.
AGUGAACGCUGGCGGCAGGCCUAAUACAUGCAAGUCGGACGGCAGCACAGCAGAGCUUGCUCUGUGGGUGGCGAGUGGCGGACGGGUGAGGAAUACAUGGGAAUCUGCCCAGUCGUGGGGGAUAACGUAUGGAAACGUACGCUAAUACCGCAUGCGCCCUUAGGGGGAAAGCCGGGGACCGAAAGGCCUGGCGCGAUUGGAUGAGCCCAUGUUCGAUUAGCUAGUGUGCGGGGUAAAGGCCCACCAAGGCGACGAUCGAUAGCUGGUCUGAGAAGAUGAGCAGCCACACUGGGACUGAGACACGGCCCAGCCUCAUACGGGAGGCAGCAGUAGGGAAUAUUGGACAAUGGGCGCAAGCCUGAUUCAGCCAUGCCGCGUGAGUGAAGAAGGCCCUCGGGUUGUAAAGCUCUUUUGUCCGGAAAGAAAAGCAUUCGGUUAAUACCCGGGUGUUCUGACGGUACCGGAAGAAUAAGCACCGGCUAACUUCGUGCCAGCCGCCGCAGUAA